AGAGUUUGAUCAUGGCUCAGAACGUACGCUGGCGGCACGCCUAACACAUGCAAGUCGAACGAAGUAGCAAUACUUAGUGGCAGACGGGUGAGUAACAUGUGGGUAUCUGCCCUUUGGCCUGGAAUAACACGAGGAAACUUGUGCUAAUACCGGAUAAGUCUUUACGGAGAAAGCUUUAUGCACCAUUGGAUGAGCCCGCACUUGAUUAGUUUGUUGGUGGGGUAAUGGCCUACCAAGACUGUGAUCAAUAGCUGAUUUGAGAGGAUGAUCAGCCACAUUGGGACUGAGACACGGCCCAAACUCCUACGGGAGGCAGCAGCGGGGAAUCUUGCACAAUGGAGGAAACUCUGAUGCAGCGAUGCCGCGUGAGUGAAGAAGGCCCUUGGGUUGUAAAGCUCUUUCGUCGGGGAAGAAAAUGACUGUACCCGAAUAAGAAGGUCCGGCUAACUUCGUGCCAGCAGCCGCGGUAAUACGAAGGGACCUAGCGUAGUUCGGAAUUACUGGGCUUAAAGAGUUCGUAGGUGGUUGAAAAAGUUAGUGGUGAAAUCCCAGAGCUUAACUCUGGAACUGCCAUUAAAACUUUUCAGCUAGAGUAUGAUAGAGGAAAGCAGAAUUUCUAGUGUAGAGGUGAAAUUCGUAGAUAUUAGAAAGAAUACCAAUUGCGAAGGCAGCUUUCUGGAUCAUUACUGACACUGAGGAACGAAAGCAUGGGUAGCGAAGAGGAUUAGAUACCCUCGUAGUCCAUGCCGUAAACGAUGUGUGUUAGACGUUGGAAAUUUAUUUUCAGUGUCGCAGCGAAAGCGAUAAACACACCGCCUGGGGAGUACGACCGCAAGGUUAAAACUCAAAUGAAUUGACGGGGACCCGCACAAGUAGUGGAGCAUGUGGUUUAAUUCGAAGAUACGCGCAGAACCUUACCAACACUUGACAUGUUCGUCGCGACUCUAAGAGAUUAGAGUUUUCGGUUCGGCCGGACGAAACACAGGUGCUGCAUGGCUGUCGUCAGCUCGUGUCGUGAGAUGUUGGGUUAAGUCCCGCAACGAGCGCAACCCUCACUUUUAGUUGCCAUCAUUAAGUUGGGCACUCUGAAAGAACUGCCAGUGAUAAGCUGGAGGAAGGUGGGGAUGACGUCAAGUCCUCAUGGCCCUUACGUGUUGGGCUACACACGUGCUACAAUGGUAUCUACAACAGGAAGCAAGACUGCGAGGUCAAGCAAAUCCUUAAAAGAUACCUCAGUUCGGAUUGCACUCUGCAACUCGAGUGCAUGAAGCUGGAAUUACUAGUAAUCGUGGAUCAGCGUGCCACGGUGAAUGCGUUCCCGGGUCUUGUACACACCGCCCGUCACACCAUGGGAGUUGGUUCUACCUUAAGGCAAGGUUUCAAACCCUUGACCACGGUAUAGUCAGCGACUGGGGUGAAGUCGUAACAAAGGUAACC
Molecule: ribosomal RNA, 1437 nt
Filed under: uncultured bacterium
Lineage: Bacteria
Description: bacterial SSU rRNA
Rfam family: Bacterial small subunit ribosomal RNA
Source: RNAcentral